UUCAGUUACUGAACAACAAAGCAAUCCGACAAUCAGACUGGACCCGGUCAUGUUAGAUACCAGAGGAAGACGAAAAUAUAAUUGAUUCUGUACUGAUGCAUGACUUCGCUCGGAACGCGGCAAGAAUUAACAAUGGAAGAAAAUACUACAGACGUGUUUAUUAACAAUAAAGUUAUUUUUGUUUUUAUGAAAUAGCGAUUGAAUAAAAAUAUUAGG
Leguminivora glycinivorella is the source of this 216-nucleotide long non-coding RNA. RefSeq lists it as uncharacterized. The record is from RefSeq and is a predicted model, not a curated record. NCBI's taxonomy places the organism in Eukaryota, Metazoa, Arthropoda, Insecta, Lepidoptera, Tortricidae. The transcript has 2 exons.